Molecule: long non-coding RNA, 581 nt
Organism: Prionailurus viverrinus (fishing cat)
Lineage: Eukaryota; Metazoa; Chordata; Mammalia; Carnivora; Felidae
Exons: 3
Source: RefSeq, a predicted model, not a curated record
UUGCGGGGCAUUCUGGGAAGCGGGGCCGCGCCCACCGCAGGAGCCUCCGGGAAGCGGCGGAGGUGGGAGCGCUGAAUUUGCACGUGGUGCCCGGCAUGUGUCUGCUCACCUGGUGCGGGCUGGGCUUUGUGACAGCCCCUCGGUGUCUACAUUGUCUAACUUAAGGGCUCUUGGCAGCCGAGCGCCUUGCCUCCUACCUGUAUUUCCCCCGUUAGUAGUCCGGGCCAGCUCUUGAGGGGAGUUCUUAUCCCCACCAGACAGGUGAAUGACCUCAACCUCGGAGAGGUGAAGGAACCCGCUGCCCUCUGCCCUCGGCUCCCUGACGCGCCAACUUGCUGCAAUAGGCUUCAUGCCCAGCCCGGAGCUCAGUUGCGGGGCUUGAACUCCCAACCCUGAGAUCAAGAUCUGAGCUGAGAUCAAAAGUUGGACGGUCAACCAUCUGAGCCACCCAGGAGCCCCUAGUGAAUGGAGUUUAAUGGGAACAGACCAAGAUGCCUAACUGGCACUUCUCACUCUGCCCUGGUACAGAUGCAAAAUUCGGAAAUUCUGAACGUCAAAUCUGUUUGAUUAUUAAUCAUGGA